GAUGAACGCUGGCGGCGUGCCUAAUACAUGCAAGUCGAGCGAACGGACGAGAAGCUUGCUUCUCUGAUGUUAGCGGCGGACGGGUGAGUAACACGUGGAUAACCUACCUAUAAGACUGGGAUAACUUCGGGAAACCGUAGCUAAUACCGGAUAAUAUUUUGAACCGCAUGGUUCAAAAGUGAAAGACGGUCUUGCUGUCACUUAUAGAUGGAUCCGCGCUGCAUUAGCUAGUUGGUAAGGUAACGGCUUACCAAGGCAACGAUGCAUAGCCGACCUGGGAGGGUGGGCGGCCACACUGGAACUGAGCCACGGUCCAGACUCCUCCGGGAGGCAGCAGUAGGGAAUCUUCCGCAAUGGGCGAGAGCCUAACGGAGCACCGCCGCGUGAGUGAUGAAGGUCUUCGGAUCGUAAAGCUCUGUUAUUAGGGAAGAACAUAUGUGUAAGUAACUGUGCACAUCUUGACGGUACCUAAUCAGAAAGCCACGGCUAACUACGUG
RNAcentral lists this ribosomal RNA (497 nucleotides) under uncultured bacterium. RNAcentral describes it as "partial 16S ribosomal RNA". It matches the Rfam family "Bacterial small subunit ribosomal RNA", at positions 28 to 507 of the family's 1533-position model. The record is from RNAcentral.